GUUCUUAUUUCAUUAUUCAAAGACACAGAAGUCUGGAAAUUCCAAUGUUGUGUCGUCUGUCGUGCAUCCGUUGCUGCAGCUCGUUCCUCAACUGCAUGAGAGAAGAAUGAAGAGAUUCAAAGUGGACGAAGAGUUCCAGAGCCCUUUUGCUGGUAAAAGUAGGGGAUACUUUCUAUUCAGGCCACGCAAUGGGAAGAGGUCAACAGGUUUUGUUUAACAUGGCACGUGCUCAAAAAAUAGACCAG
Long non-coding RNA from Acomys russatus (golden spiny mouse), 245 nucleotides. RefSeq lists it as uncharacterized. Lineage: Eukaryota; Metazoa; Chordata; Mammalia; Rodentia; Muridae. The transcript is spliced from 4 exons. The record is from RefSeq and is a predicted model, not a curated record.